GUUAGCUUAAAGCGUAAGUAAUUGGUAGACGUACCGAGGAGGGGCGCAUGCGCAAAGCGCUGGGCUGAUAACCCAGAGAUGGAGGUUCGAAUCCUCUGCUUGU
Molecule: transfer RNA, 103 nt
Filed under: Streptococcus pyogenes
Lineage: Bacteria; Bacillati; Bacillota; Bacilli; Lactobacillales; Streptococcaceae
Also listed under: 2 other names
Description: tRNA-Ile (GAT) (tRNA-Ile-GAT-2-1)
Rfam family: tRNA
About the family: Transfer RNA (tRNA) molecules are approximately 80 nucleotides in length.
Source: RNAcentral